Molecule: transfer RNA, 72 nt
Filed under: Camelus bactrianus (Bactrian camel)
Lineage: Eukaryota; Metazoa; Chordata; Mammalia; Artiodactyla; Camelidae
Also listed under: 1 other name
Rfam family: tRNA
About the family: Transfer RNA (tRNA) molecules are approximately 80 nucleotides in length. Their secondary structure includes four short double-helical elements and three loops (D, anti-codon, and T loops). Further hydrogen bonds mediate the characteristic L-shaped molecular structure. tRNAs have two regions of fundamental functional importance: the anti-codon, which is responsible for specific mRNA codon recognition, and the 3' end, to which the tRNAs corresponding amino acid is attached (by aminoacyl-tRNA synthetases). tRNAs cope with the degeneracy of the genetic code in two manners: having more than one tRNA (with a specific anti-codon) for a particular amino acid; and 'wobble' base-pairing, i.e. permitting non-standard base-pairing at the 3rd anti-codon position.
Source: Rfam by way of RNAcentral
GCGGGUAUAACUCAGAGGGAGAGUGCAUGCUUAGCAUACAAGAGGUCUUGGGUUCAACCCCCAGUACUGUCA